GAACUGAAGAGUUUGAUCCUGGCUCAGAUUGAACGCUAGCGGGAUGCUUUACACAUGCAAGUCGAACGGCAGCGCGAGAAAGCUUGCUUUCUUGGCGGCGAGUGGCGAACGGGUGAGUAAUGUAUCGGAACGUGCCCAGUAGCGGGGGAUAACUACGCGAAAGCGUGGCUAAUACCGCAUACGUCCUACGGGAGAAAGGGGGGGAUCGCAAGACCUC
This 217-nucleotide ribosomal RNA is filed under the name Anaerolineae bacterium. RNAcentral's name for it is "partial 16S ribosomal RNA". It matches the Rfam family "Bacterial small subunit ribosomal RNA", at positions 1 to 216 of the family's 1533-position model. The record is from RNAcentral. Lineage: Bacteria; Bacillati; Chloroflexota; Anaerolineae.